GCGCGGGUGGUGAAAUCGGUAGACACGCUAGCUUGAGGGGCUAGUGGGGGCAACCCCGUGCGAGUUCAAGUCUCGCCCCGCGCACCA
Molecule: transfer RNA, 87 nt
Filed under: Thiohalospira halophila DSM 15071
Lineage: Bacteria; Pseudomonadati; Pseudomonadota; Gammaproteobacteria; Thiohalospirales; Thiohalospiraceae
Also listed under: 2 other names
Description: tRNA_Leu_GAG
Rfam family: tRNA
About the family: Transfer RNA (tRNA) molecules are approximately 80 nucleotides in length. Their secondary structure includes four short double-helical elements and three loops (D, anti-codon, and T loops). Further hydrogen bonds mediate the characteristic L-shaped molecular structure. tRNAs have two regions of fundamental functional importance: the anti-codon, which is responsible for specific mRNA codon recognition, and the 3' end, to which the tRNAs corresponding amino acid is attached (by aminoacyl-tRNA synthetases). tRNAs cope with the degeneracy of the genetic code in two manners: having more than one tRNA (with a specific anti-codon) for a particular amino acid; and 'wobble' base-pairing, i.e. permitting non-standard base-pairing at the 3rd anti-codon position.
Source: RNAcentral